Molecule: long non-coding RNA, 705 nt
Filed under: Cricetulus griseus (Chinese hamster)
Lineage: Eukaryota; Metazoa; Chordata; Mammalia; Rodentia; Cricetidae
Description: lncRNA (ENSCGRG00015034380.1)
Source: RNAcentral
CUUAAGGCUAGAGGAGAUGGCCAGGGCAGAGCAGGGCUGCCCAGUAGCUGACUCAUCUGACAUUACCAUAAUUACAGCGAUUUUCAAACUGUGAGUAAUGCCUGGUGUCAGAGAAUGUCAGGGAACGUUUCUGAGCACUCCCAGCCGCUGCUCGAGGCUGAACCAAGCCAAGGGCAGGGAAGUGCCCUGGGACACCACCUGCCUCAGCCAGCAGGUAACCCAGGGGCUCCAAGGAUUGAGCUUCUCUGGGACCAUCGCCUCUGGUGUUUAAACGGAGCUUUCAGAGUGGCAGUCUGUGGUUGGUAAGCUCUUACUGGAUGAGGAUCUGUAGCGUCCCAGGACUCUAGAAACACACUCUAGAAUCUACUGCGGUUGUGUCUCCUAGGUGAUUCCAAGCCCAUCGCGUUGACGGUGAAGACUAACCAUCUCAGUUCACAGCUAGAAGAUGAGACACCAGCCUCACCAUUCCCUUCAAAGACGCAUCGCCUGUGGCACCCCUCCCCCAUUCAAAGACGCAUCGCCUGUGACACCACCUCUCCCCCAUUCAAAGACGCAUCACUUGUGACACCCCUCCCCCAAACAUCCACCAUUUAUCUAAUGCCAUGCUGGGAAGCAAGCCUUUAUUACACAGGCCUUUAGGGGACCGGAUGGAGUAGCUAUGUAAUAAAAGUUUGUCCGUGCCCUGAGCAUGUGUAUAGCAUUGAG